Molecule: ribosomal RNA, 376 nt
Filed under: uncultured bacterium
Lineage: Bacteria
Description: bacterial SSU rRNA
Rfam family: Bacterial small subunit ribosomal RNA
Source: RNAcentral
GACAGAGGGCUCAAACGUUGUUCGGAAUUACUGGGCAUAAAGCGCACGCAGGCGGCUUGCUAAGUCGGGUGUGAAAUCCCUUGGCUCAACCGAGGAACUGCAUUCGAUACUGGUAGGCUCGAGGACGGGAGGGGUAAGCGGAACUCCAGGUGGAACGGUGAAAUGUGUAGAUAUCUGGAGGAACACCGGUGGCGAAAGCGGCUUACUGGCCCGUAUCUGACGCUCAUGUGCGAAAGCUAGGGGAGCAAACGGGAUUAGAUACCCCGGUAGUCCUAGCUGUAAACGAUGGGCACUGGGCAGUGGGAUUCCUAUGAUUCUCCCUGCCGUAGCAAAUGUGUUAAGUGCCCCGCCUGGGGAGUACGUUCGCAAGGAUAAA